CAACUACUACUACUAGUACUGACGUUACAACUACUACUACUAGUACUGUCCCGACAACUACUACUACUAGUUCUGUCCCUCCAUAUAUUACUACUAGUACUGUCCCUACAACUGCUAUUACUAGUACUGUCCCUCCUACUACUUCUACUUGUACUGUCCCUACAAAUACUACUACUUGUACAGUCUCUCCAACUACUACUCGUUCUGUCCCUCCAAAUAUUACUACUAGUACUGUCCCUACAACUACUAUUACUAGUACUGUCCCUCUAACUACUACCAGUGCUGCUGCUCCAACUACUACCACUACUCUUACAAUUACAACAACUACUGCCCCUCCAACUAUUACUACUACCACUGCACUUCCCAGCACCUCUUCCACCACAAUCCCUCCAUUGGCCUGUAUCAAUGGUGGUGAACUGCAGAGUGGAGUCUGUAUCUGUCCUGAUGAAUGGGCUGGGACGACCUGUUCAAAGGGGAAUAUUUGCAAUUCCACCAUUAUUUCUGGAUUCUCCUUCCCGAGAACGGUGAUUGACCGGCUUGGUUAUUCAGCAGAGUUGUGUGCUGGGAAUACAACCAAUGGGGGUUUAUCAAUAGCUUUUGCAAGAUGUUUGAAUUACACUGGAUCUCCAAGGUUUGGUCCUACUCAAGUUCUAAACUGUGCUUUGACCCUUAGUGACAUUCAAAGAAGUAUCUCUAACGGCUCAGGUGAUUUACUGAAUUUAGCAAUCAGUACUCAGAUUCUGACCUCCAAACCGGACAAUCUAUGCCCUGAAAACAUAUCCACAGCAGCAAAUAUCACCAUAAGUCUGCUUCAGUCAAAUAUCU
Long non-coding RNA from Esox lucius (northern pike), 825 nucleotides. RefSeq lists it as uncharacterized. The record is from RefSeq and is a predicted model, not a curated record. NCBI's taxonomy places the organism in Eukaryota, Metazoa, Chordata, Actinopteri, Esociformes, Esocidae. The transcript has 4 exons.